RNAcentral lists this ribosomal RNA (548 nucleotides) under Cherax monticola. RNAcentral describes it as "partial 16S ribosomal RNA". It matches the Rfam family "Bacterial large subunit ribosomal RNA", at positions 1828 to 2633 of the family's 2925-position model. The record is from RNAcentral. Lineage: Eukaryota; Metazoa; Arthropoda; Malacostraca; Decapoda; Parastacidae.
ACAUGUCUAUAUGAGAGUUAUAUAAAGUCUGGCCUGCCCAUUGGGAACUAAAAGGCCGCGGUAUUAUGACCGUGCGAAGGUAGCAUAAUCAUUAGUCUUUUAAUUGGAGGCUGGAAUGAAUGGUCGGACGAGAAGUAAGCUGUCUUUAUCUCAUAGAUUGAAUUUAACUUUUAAGUGAAAAGGCUUAAAUGAGUUAGAGGGACGAUAAGACCCUAUAAAGUUUGUACAUGGGGUUAAUUAAGAGUGAUUUGGAGUAAUAAAAUUUAUUAUUAGCAAGGUGUUUGGUUGGGGCGACUAGGAUAUAAGUUAUAUAACUGUUUUUUGUUUAAAUCAGAGAUAUCUGUUUAUAUGAUCCCUUUUUAGGAUUAAAGAGUAAAUUACUUUAGGGAUAACAGCGUAAUUUUUUUUGAGAGUUCUUAUCGACAAAAGAGUUUGCGACCUCGAUGUUGAAUUAAAAAUUUCUUUGUGGUGUAGCAGUUACGAGAGAAGGUCUGUUCGACCUUUAAAUUUUUACAUGAUUUGAGUUCAGACCGGCGUGAGCCAGGUUG